GAUGAACGCUAGCGGCAGGCUUAACACAUGCAAGUCGAGGGGCAGCGAGGCCGUAGCAAUACGGCUGUCGGCGACCGGCGCACGGGUGCGUAACGCGUAUGCAACCUACCCGUAACAGGGGGAUAACACUGAGAAAUUGGUACUAAUACCCCAUAAUAUCUCGGAAGGCAUCUUCUGGGGUUGAAAACUCUGGUGGUUACGGAUGGGCAUGCGUUGUAUUAGCUAGUUGGUAAGGUAACGGCUUACCAAGGCGACGAUCAGUAGCCGGCCUGAGAGGGUGAACGGCCACAUUGGGACUGAGACACGGCCCAA
Molecule: ribosomal RNA, 312 nt
Filed under: uncultured bacterium
Lineage: Bacteria
Description: bacterial SSU rRNA
Rfam family: Bacterial small subunit ribosomal RNA
Source: RNAcentral